GAUGAACGCUGGCGGCGUGCCUAAUACAUGCAAGUCGAGCGAACAGAUGAGGAGCUUGCUUCUCUGAUGUUAGCGGCGGACGGGUGAGUAACACGUGGAUAACCUACCUAUAAGACUGGGAUAACUUCGGGAAACCGUAGCUAAUACCGGAUAAUAUAUUGAACCGCAUGGUUCAAUAGUGAAAGACGGUCUUGCUGUCACUUAUAGAUGGAUCCGCGCUGCAUUAGCUAGUUGGUAAGGUAACGGCUUACCAAGGCAACGAUGCGUAGCCGACCUGAGAGGGUGAUCGGCCACACUGGAACUGAGACACGGUCCAGACUCCUACGGGAGGCAGCAGUAGGGAAUCUUCCGCAAUGGGCGAAAGCCUGACGGAGCAACGCCGCGUGAGUGAUGAAGGUCUUCGGAUCGUAAAACUCUGUUAUUAGGGAAGAACAAAUGUGUAAGUAACUGUGCACAUCUUGACGGUACCUAAUCAGAAAGCCACGGCUAACUACGUG
Molecule: ribosomal RNA, 497 nt
Filed under: uncultured bacterium
Lineage: Bacteria
Description: partial 16S ribosomal RNA
Rfam family: Bacterial small subunit ribosomal RNA
Source: RNAcentral